AGCGGGGGAAAGCUUGCUUUCCCUGCCGGCGAGUGGCGAACGGGUGAGUAAUACAUCGGAACGUGCCCUGUAGUGGGGGAUAACUAGUCGAAAGAUUAGCUAAUACCGCAUACGACCUGAGGGUGAAAGUGGGGGACCGCAAGGCCUCAUGCUAUAGGAGCGGCCGAUGUCUGAUUAGCUAGUUGGUGGGGUAAAGGCCUACCAAGGCGACGAUCAGUAGCUGGUCUGAGAGGACGAUCAGCCACACUGGGACUGAGACACGGCCCAGACUCCUACGGGAGGCAGCAGUGGGGAAUUUUGGACAAUGGGCGAAAGCCUGAUCCAGCAAUGCCGCGUGUGUGAAGAAGGCCUUCGGGUUGUAAAGCACUUUUGUCCGGAAAGAAAUGGCUCUGGUUAAUACCCGGAGUUGAUGACGGUACCGGAAGAAUAAGGACCGGCUAACUACGUGCCAGCAGCCGCGGUAAUACGUAGGGUCCAAGCGUUAAUCGGAAUUACUGGGCGUAAAGCGUGCGCAGGCGGUUGUGCAAGACCGAUGUGAAAUCCCCGGGCUUAACCUGGGAAUUGCAUUGGUGACUGCACGGCUAGAGUGUGUCAGAGGGAGGUAGAAUUCCACGUGUAGCAGUGAAAUGCGUAGAGAUGUGGAGGAAUACCGAUGGCGAAGGCAGCCUCCUGGGAUAACACUGACGCUCAUGCACGAAAGCGUGGGGAGCAAACAGGAUUAGAUACCCUGGUAGUCCACGCCCUAAACGAUGUCAACUAGUUGUUGGGGAUUCAUUUCCUUAGUAACGUAGCUAACGCGUGAAGUUGACCGCCUGGGGAGUACGGUCGCAAGAUUAAAACUCAAAGGAAUUGACGGGGACCCGCACAAGCGGUGGAUGAUGUGGAUUAAUUCGAUGCAACGCGAAAAACCUUACCUACCCUUGACAUGCCACUAACGAAGCAGAGAUGCAUUAGGUGCUCGAAAGAGAAAGUGGACACAGGUGCUGCAUGGCUGUCGUCAGCUCGUGUCCUGAGAUGUUUGGGUUAAGUCCCGCAACGAGCGCAACCCUUGUCUCUAGUUGCU
This 1063-nucleotide ribosomal RNA is filed under the name Ralstonia solanacearum. RNAcentral's name for it is "bacterial SSU rRNA". It matches the Rfam family "Bacterial small subunit ribosomal RNA", at positions 65 to 1119 of the family's 1533-position model. The record is from RNAcentral. Lineage: Bacteria; Pseudomonadati; Pseudomonadota; Betaproteobacteria; Burkholderiales; Burkholderiaceae.